Molecule: ribosomal RNA, 451 nt
Filed under: uncultured bacterium
Lineage: Bacteria
Description: bacterial SSU rRNA
Rfam family: Bacterial small subunit ribosomal RNA
Source: RNAcentral
ACUCCUACGGGAGGCAGCAGUGGGGAAUCUUAGACAAUGGGCGCAAGCCUGAUCUAGCCAUGCCGCGUGAGUGAUGAAGGCCUUAGGGUCGUAAAGCUCUUUCGCCAGGGAUGAUAAUGACAGUACCUGGUAAAGAAACCCCGGCUAACUCCGUGCCAGCAGCCGCGGUAAUACGGAGGGGGUUAGGCGUUGUUCGGAAUUACUGGGGCGUAAAGCGCGCGUAGGCGGAUUAGUCAGUUAGAGGUGAAAUCCCAGGGCUCAACCCUGGAACUGCCUUUAAUACUGCUAGUCUUGAGUUCGAGAGAGGUGAGUGGAAUUCCGAGUGUAGAGGUGAAAUUCGUAGAUAUUCGGAGGAACACCAGUGGCGAAGGCGGCUCACUGGCUCGAUACUGACGCUGAGGUGCGAAAGUGUGGGGGAGCAAACAGGAUUAGAUACCCUGGUAGGAUAGCG